This 64-nucleotide transfer RNA is filed under the name SAR202 cluster bacterium AC-647-N09_OGT_505m. RNAcentral's name for it is "tRNA-Asn". It matches the Rfam family "tRNA", at positions 7 to 64 of the family's 71-position model. Rfam says of the family: Transfer RNA (tRNA) molecules are approximately 80 nucleotides in length. Their secondary structure includes four short double-helical elements and three loops (D, anti-codon, and T loops). Lineage: Bacteria; Bacillati; Chloroflexota; Dehalococcoidia. The record is from RNAcentral.
GAAAUAGCUCAGCGGUAGAGCGGACGGCUGUUAACUACUGGGUCGUAGGUUAGAAUCCUACUCG